GCAGUGUUGGCUGAGUGGUAGAGUUUUCACCUUCCAUGUGAAAGACCCAGGUUUGAUCCCUGGCCAAUGCA
This 71-nucleotide transfer RNA is filed under the name Loxodonta africana (African savanna elephant). It matches the Rfam family "tRNA". Rfam says of the family: Transfer RNA (tRNA) molecules are approximately 80 nucleotides in length. Their secondary structure includes four short double-helical elements and three loops (D, anti-codon, and T loops). Further hydrogen bonds mediate the characteristic L-shaped molecular structure. tRNAs have two regions of fundamental functional importance: the anti-codon, which is responsible for specific mRNA codon recognition, and the 3' end, to which the tRNAs corresponding amino acid is attached (by aminoacyl-tRNA synthetases). tRNAs cope with the degeneracy of the genetic code in two manners: having more than one tRNA (with a specific anti-codon) for a particular amino acid; and 'wobble' base-pairing, i.e. permitting non-standard base-pairing at the 3rd anti-codon position. The record is from Rfam by way of RNAcentral. Lineage: Eukaryota; Metazoa; Chordata; Mammalia; Proboscidea; Elephantidae.